UUUGCCCAGGAACUUCCAUAUGCCGCAGGUGGGGCCCUAAAAAAGAAAAAAAAAUAUGGGGCAGCCAGUUUAAUUUCCAUUUCAGAUAGGCAACAAAUUGUUUUUUAGUAUAAGAAUAUUUGGAACAUACUACUUUUUAGUCUAAAAAUAUUUGGAACAUUACCUUUUAGUAUAAAAAUAUUCAGGUCACAUAUUUUUAAAAUUAUUUGCUGUUUAUCUGGAAAUUCAGAUAACUGGGUGUCCUGUAUUUAAUCUGGCAAUCCCAAUAAGAUUGUUUUCUGAAUGGACAGAGUGGUAAAAAUAGGCUUUUUUAGGUCUCACAGUGAAUAUUUUUUUUUUACAUAAAAGUUACACAUGGCCUUGCUAAAACAUUCAAACAGUAUGGAGCUAAAGUGUGGUUCUGCAUCUUGUCUUUUCUGCCUCAGAGAUCAUUAUGCUGGAGACAUGGCUAUGCACAGAGAGUGCCCAUUCUUUUUAACAGCUGCAUAGUGUUCCAUUGUCUGCCUGUGGUCAUCUGGAUUUCACAGGCCUCUGUGGAUGGGUUCAGAUUUUCGAUGAGCACAAACAACGCUGCCAAGACAUUCCUUGAACAUAUAUCUCUGUGUGUGUUUGAGAACAUAAUAGCAGAAUGGCUUCAAUAAGAAAACCCAGCCGUCCCGUGUCCAAUAUCUUUGGUGACUUCAGUGAUAUUUCCUUGGAAGAUUCAAAGGUGGAAGAAAUCCAGAACUUGGGAAUCAGUCGAAGUCUUACCAAAAUAGCACCCAGUCAGAGCAGAUUUCUAAAAAGAAACCAAACUGUGGGUGGAAGACACUUAUCCCCCAAAGAGAACGCUGUCCUGGGGAGUGGGCCCUGGCCCUCCUCAGGUAGACCCCUGACCAUGGCCUCAAAGGUCAGGGCCAAUGCUGCACUCACGAAGCUGGCCCAGAUCGAAAGCAAGAUCAGGAAUCGGAAGGUGCAGAUGGCGUUGUCUCACGUGGAAUCUGACCUGAAGACUUCUGAGGACAUGCUUCCUAGUGGAGCAGACGACAUUCCCCCCAGGAGGCCGGGUGACCUUUCUUCACAGAACACAGACAAAACCUCCUGGACACAGACCCGUGAAAUUCUUGUCUCUGAGGGUGACAAGCCCAGUGGAAAGGUCAGUAAGUUUCUAAAGAAGAGAGAAGCACUUGUUGAAAAGAUAUCCCCCAAAGCACAUGCUGGGAAAGAGAGGAAUUUUCAAACACUCAAAGAAAAGAAACCUCCUAGAAAACUGGAUUCUCCAGACAGCGAUGAGGAGGAAAUGAAGGAGCUGCUGGGAAGCUUGAUGGAGUCUCCUAGAGAAAAAAACACAGCCACAAAUCAGGGUUUCACCAGCACUAGGGUCAGUGAAGAACAACAAAUAAAACUGUUCUCGGAUCAGACCCCAACUCAACCAAGAGUCCUUUCACUGCCCAGUAAGGACCUUUCCAGUUCAAAGCCAUUUUGGACAUCACGUGUGCCAACCUCACAGUCAGCCGAUGGGAUCCUUCGCAGCACUGGCUCAAGAAAUUGUUCCCCACAGACUCACAUUUCAGAUGACACAGCCCCCCACAAAGCAUCGAUUUCCACUCCCGGCACCUUUCCGAAGUCAUUGCCUUCGACAGUCGGGGACGGCAAGCUCUCAUCCCCGCCCAGAUGGAGUGAGGCUGGGCCUCUGGAGGAGUCUCCCUCAGCAGCUACCGAUGACAGCCUAAACGAUUUUAGAAUAAACAUUUUAUCCCUUGAUGAUCUGUCUCCAGCUGUCAGUGAGAAACCAGACUUUGAACAGAAAAAAGAUGGUCAGAGGGAAAAGGCAUCCAGCCGAAGCCCCUGGGUAGGGAGCCCUUCCUCUGGAAGUGAGGUCUCUGAGCACCUGAGCGAGCGGUCGGCCUUGUCUGCUGGGUCCAAGGGUGUUUCUGGCCCAGGGCCCAUGUCACAGGAACCUCUGGCCAGCUCCGAGAGCUUUUCUUACUCGGAAGAUUUUGAAAAAUCCCCUAGUCCAACGACAGCGUCUGAGUUGACGGCCCAUUCUGAGGAGUCUCCUGACAGGACGCUGGCCACUCGGUCUGAGUUUUCUGCAAGUCUGGAGACAGCCCUUCCUCCACCAACACCCAAGUCUCAGAAGAAGCGGACCAGGGGUGUUGCAAGAGUCAUGGUGAAGGAGACGGCUGUGCAGACCCCUGAUCCUGCCUUCAUCUACCAGUGGACUAAGGCGGCCAGUGUGGCGGCCAUCGGGCCAGCCCUGGGAGGCGCCUACGUGGACCCUGCACCCAUUGCCAGUCAUGUCAUCAGUGCAGAUGCCAUAGAAGCCCUGACAGCAUACAGCCCAGCCGUGUUUGCACUCAAUGACAUGCUGAAGCAGCAGCUGAACCUGACGCAGCAGUUCAUCGAGGCCAGCCGGCACCUACACGCGUCCCUCCUGCACUCCCUGGACCGGGACUCGUUCCACUACCACACCCUGGAGGAAACCAAAGAGCACUGCCACCUGGCAUCCCAUCAUUUUUUGCUAGACCCUGGGGACAGGCUCUCCAGCACCCAGAGCUUCAACAGCCCGAGGCUGCAGUGGUGACGGCUUCCCCAUGUCUUCUGCCCCACAGUACAUCAGACAACACAGGCCCACUCCGCUGACCAUGGAGGAGGCUCUGGAGGAGGUGAAGAAGGAGCUGUGAAUGCUAGCAGAUGGAGACCGUGUGAGAACUGAGGUGUCCCUUCCAUCUUCCACUGCCAAUAAGCCAAGAGUCCGAGGCCCGCGCUGCUGGCGGCCAGCCACUGACGUGGUUCUCUGCCUGUGCCGCUCCUACUUGCACUCGUCCCUGGCCUUCAUGCGGGCGAUGAAGGAGUAACUCUUGUUCCUGCGGUAGUUCUCGUAGGGGUCAUCCAGAGCCACGCCCACACCCUUGUACUGGUCCCACUUAUCCCGGACGUCCCCGCCCUUGAUGGGGUCCUGGAUCCCUUGCUCUUUCGCGCCAAGGCCACCGGAUCCACUCCAGCCUUAGGAAGAAAGGAAGGGGUGGUUACAACACACCGAGGAAGCCGAAACUGGGCACUUAACCUGACAUGAAGUUAAAUGGGAGCGCGUGUGGGGAGCUGAACAUGCAGGCAUGCGGUUUAUAAACCUAAGACUAAUGAGGGAAGAAAGAAGGCCCAGUAAAACCCCUGCAGGUUCACCCUUUCUAGAGGUUCUGGCCUUGAGCUGGAACUUUCUCUGACUCCAUCACCCCCAGCCGCAAACACCCAGAGCAGACUGUUUGGUCCUUCUAGAAAUCUUACCCAUUUUCACCAGCAUCUGAUGUCCUUUGUUCUCUUCCCCGAGCCUUGAGUCAGGUAUGGGAGGUGCUGAAUUAGAACCCAGACCAGCCGAGGAACUAAAAUUAAGACAGUUACGUCUUUUAAAAAGGAGCUGAUACAUUUAUUGGAAUGAAAACUUAGAAUGUUACAGCGUGUAGCUUAUAUAAAUGGUCACCAGCGUGAUGGACACACACACACUGUUCCGUGUCUCUAAGCCUUCUUCUUUGUCCUCUUCGCCGACCAGAUAAGGGGGCUCCCUAAGAUGGCCCUGCCUCGCACAGCGGCAAGGGCAGGCCACACUGAACCCAUAAAAUGGUUAGAAAACAGAGCCCAGCCACCGUCUCAGGCUUUACAACGUGACUGUGGAGGUAAGAGCGAGGUGUGAGACGAAGUGCCACCAUCACCGAGCUAGUGCUCGGGGCCCCCGAGGUGCCGCCUCAGCCCAGGCCACCGUGAGUGCGUCUUCUAAGGACACCAUUCAACAUUCACAGCAAAGCAUCAGAGGUUUCCAGUGCUACCAGAGGUCAUUUGACAGUUAAGACAGAAA
Non-coding RNA from Sus scrofa (pig), 3832 nucleotides. NCBI's taxonomy places the organism in Eukaryota, Metazoa, Chordata, Mammalia, Artiodactyla, Suidae. The record is from RefSeq and is a predicted model, not a curated record.